UGCCUAUCCAAGCUCUCCAACUGUGGUUGU
This 30-nucleotide non-coding RNA is filed under the name Mus musculus (house mouse). Lineage: Eukaryota; Metazoa; Chordata; Mammalia; Rodentia; Muridae. The record is from RNAcentral.